Molecule: ribosomal RNA, 524 nt
Filed under: uncultured bacterium
Lineage: Bacteria
Description: partial 16S ribosomal RNA
Rfam family: Bacterial small subunit ribosomal RNA
Source: RNAcentral
GACGAACGCUGGCGGCGUGCCUAAUACAUGCAAGUCGAGCGCAGUAAAUCAUCCGAACCCUUCGGGGGGACGUUGAUGGAAUGAGCGGCGGACGGGUGAGUAACACGUAAGGAACCUACCCUCAGGUCUGGGAUAACCACGAGAAAUCGGGGCUAAUACCGGAUGGGUCAUCGGACCGCAUGGUCCGAGGAUGAAAGGCGCUUCGGCGUCGCCUGGGGACGGCUUUGCGGUGCAUUAGCUAGUUGGUGGGGUAAUGGCCCACCAAGGCGACGAUGCAUAGCCGACCUGAGAGGGUGAUCGGCCACACUGGGACUGAGACACGGCCCAGACUCCUACGGGAGGCAGCAGUAGGGAAUCUUCCACAAUGGACGAAAGUCUGAUGGAGCAACGCCGCGUGAACGAUGAUGGCCUUCGGGUCGUAAAGUUCUGUUGUAAGGGAAGAACAAGUGCCGCAGGCAAUGGCGGCACCCUGACGGUACCUUGCGAGAAAGCCACGGCUAACUACGUGCCAGCCGCCGCCGUAA